AUGGAAUGAAUGGUGCAAAAUCCUGCAUUCUGAGCAUUUCCAAAAAGCUUGACAAUGUUUAAAAUUUGGACACUUUUCAUAUAAAUUCAAAUAAAGUUGUUAAAAAAAGACAUUUACUUACACCAACUUGAAUUUUUAACAACUUUAUUUGAAUUUAUAUGUCAGAUAAACAUCCAAAUAAAAAUUUGAGUAUGCCGCCAGAAC
Molecule: long non-coding RNA, 204 nt
Filed under: Mytilus galloprovincialis (Mediterranean mussel)
Lineage: Eukaryota; Metazoa; Mollusca; Bivalvia; Mytilida; Mytilidae
Source: RNAcentral